Long non-coding RNA from Trifolium pratense (red clover), 1315 nucleotides. RefSeq lists it as uncharacterized. The transcript is spliced from 2 exons. Lineage: Eukaryota; Viridiplantae; Streptophyta; Magnoliopsida; Fabales; Fabaceae. The record is from RefSeq and is a predicted model, not a curated record.
GUGAAAAGUGAAAACCCCUACACAUUGAGAUUAAAUUAUCAUUCAUUCAAGAUUUCAAUCACAUUGUCAUAACAUUAUUCAUUUAAGAUUAAUCGAUUUUCAUUUUAAACCAAACAAACAACAAUGUCGUAUGUUGCUUCUUCUCCUAAUUUUCAAAAACUCCAAAACCCUAAAUUCAUUCGCUUCUUCUCCUCUUCACCUAAAAGCCUAUACUCUCAAUUCCACAACCAAAAUAAAGACGAACAAAAUCUCGUUUGCUUAUUCAAUCAAUUGCUACUUCAAAACAAUCCAUCCAUCUUCCGAUUUAACAAAAUUUUAGGUUCCUUUGUUAAGCUAAAUCAAUACUCCACUGUUGUUAAGCUAAAAUGGGUUGCUUGAUGAAGCAUUGGCCAUACUAUCAAAACUGAAAGACAAUAGUUGCAUUCCAAACGCCGCAACAUAUGAAAUUAUUAUCCGUUCUCUAUUUGAUAACGAUGAAAAUGAUAAGGCGGAGAAACUUCUUCGUGAAAUGAUUUCAAGAGGUCUGUUGUAAGACUAAAACUAGAAUUUAUUGUUCUUAAUUGAGCUUAAGAAGAGGUGUUGGUCGUAGGAAACUGGGUUAAUUAAGAUUUGUUCUGUUGAGCCUAUCUUAGGGAUACUAAAUUGAAUUGGGACAGAACAACAAGUAAGCUUAUUAUUAUUUUUCUUUUUAAUACUUAUACUUCUGCAUUAUAGUUCUAAUCUUACGAAGCUUAUCUGUUUUAGAAUGAUAAGCUUAAGGUUGAGUUUCUAAGACCUGAACUGUAAACAACAGACAUAAGUUUGGCUUUGCCCUUAAGCGAAGUAAGCUGAGAAUGACUUUAAUUGCUCUUGUGGUUACAUUAAAUUACUGUCUAAUGAGUAACUAAGGCCUCAUUGCAGCUGCAUAAUCUACUCAAAUAUGCAUUAAAGACUAAUAUUGAGAACUGGAAUGGUCUUCAAGUUGUUUGGUCACUAGGCUUAGAGUUUUAAACUUGCAUACAGAAGGAGGGAGCAUGAUUCUAUUUUCUACAUAACUGCUGGUGCUGCAGUUUUGGAUGAUAAUUUAUCUUAAAUUUUGGUUUGGAGUUUUUUAAUAUUUUAGAAUGAUAUGGUUAGAAAAAAUAUUCCUAAUGUUGUAACGUACAGUUCCCUUAUUUUAGAAUUAUAUGGUUGGUUUAAACUGCUGCCACAUUCUUGCUUUUAGUAUAAAGCCAAGCCUAGUGGCUGUUACAGAGGUCAGGAACCUGUACGAAUAUUUCAGGGAUUUACAAAUGAAUUCAAAGUUAUACAAGUAGUUAUUUGAUUUGAUUUACAA